AUACCUUUCUCGGCCUUUUGGCUAAGAUCAAGUGUAGUAUCUGUUCUUAUUAGUUUAAUAUCUGAUAUGUGAGCCAUUGGCUCACACGAUAUGAACUUAAUUUCUCUAGGGGAAAGGUCCAUCAAGGUAGCUUGCUACUUGCGUCUUUGAGUGUCGCCUUGGUACCGCACUAUUACCUUGGCCUGGCACACCCCAC
This is a small nuclear RNA of Ipomoea nil (Japanese morning glory), 196 nucleotides long. It matches the Rfam family "U2 spliceosomal RNA". From Rfam's summary of the family: U2 is a small nuclear RNA (snRNA) component of the spliceosome (involved in pre-mRNA splicing). NCBI's taxonomy places the organism in Eukaryota, Viridiplantae, Streptophyta, Magnoliopsida, Solanales, Convolvulaceae. The record is from Rfam.